This 279-nucleotide ribosomal RNA is filed under the name uncultured bacterium. RNAcentral describes it as "partial 16S ribosomal RNA". It matches the Rfam family "Bacterial small subunit ribosomal RNA", at positions 337 to 633 of the family's 1533-position model. The record is from RNAcentral.
ACCUACGGGGGGCAGCAGUGGGGAAUAUUGCACAAUGGGCGAAGGCCUGAUGCAGCGACGCCGCGUGAAGGAUGAAGUAUUUCGGUAUGUAAACUUCUAUCAGCAGGGAAGAAAAUGACGGUACCUGACUAAGAAGCCCCGGCUAACUACGUGCCAGCAGCCGCGGUAAUACGUAGGGGGCAAGCGUUAUCCGGAUUUACUGGGUGUAAAGGGAGCGUAGACGGCGAUGCAAGCCAGAUGUGAAGGCCCGGGGCUCAACCCCGGGACUGCAUUUGGAAC